UCAGAUAAUUUUAUGACUUCAGGAAUAUACAUACCCAAAAUAAUGAAAGCAAUGCAAAACAUUUUAAUAGGCUACUGAUUAUUAGAAUUUUAAUCUAAAAUAUUUUUUAGCAAAUUAAUUUAAUACACCAUCAGCUAAUAUGUUAUUCGAAAUACUUCUUAAAAUAUUAAUAAUUGACAAAUCUGAAAAUCUAUCUUGUUCCAUUGAGGUACGCAACCAAUUUUUAUUUGCUAACCAAAAUGCAACGUGUGUUCACGUACUGUUUUCGUUUCGCGCGUCGUCGGAAUAGUCCUAAGAGCAGUGGACCAAGCACUCGAAUGGAAUACUACCAUGCACUGAACGCAGCUAUUAUCUAUCGGACAUUCGGACCUACCUACAUAAACAGGUCAAUAAUCAAGCUUCCAUAGCACUGAUUCAUCGAUUCAAAAGGAACCAUUUGAGUCAGUGGAAGAUUAAAACAUGCAUUGUUUAGUGGAAAUGCAAAAUAUUCAAUUAUUUUGUCUCAUAAGACACAUCUUACUGAGUUAAUCAUCCAACACUUUCAUCAUAUCUUUUAACAGUUUAGAAUAUUUCUGGUUGAGCAGCGGUCCGUGACUUUACCUACUCUCGUAUUCCCUGCACCAAGUUUGGAGUUAUGAACUAACGACCGUUUAUGGGGGAUCUACUAGCUGCUAGAGUUAUAGAAAACCAACCAUUUUUUAACGUAGGAAAUAGUAAUGAAUUAUAGAGGACCUUUCAUGGUUCGUAAAAGUUGACGUCGUGGUGCUCUUAUUAAUAAAAUAUAUUUAGCCUUCUUUGUAUGUAUGUCGGUAAGGUUAGGAAAUCGUUGAAGAUCUAUCCACAGACGCAUUCUUCGCCACAUUAGAUAGAUUUGUUGCGCAACGUGUUAUUCCCAACACCAUGUAUAUACUACAUAUCACUAUAGUACAUAUUAUAUUGUAGGUUGAUGGUUAGAUUGUGGUACAAAUUAUGUAGGUGUUACCAAACAAUUAAAGCGAUUAAUCGACGAAGACUCCAAUUAACAAACCUUUUAUGGUCGUGUACCAUGCACGUGGUAAUUUAAUCCAUCCGGAGCCCCACAUUUUGACGGUAUAUGAGAGACUGCCAUCAAAAACACUAAAACCUAUCCAAGGAAAGUGAUCCGUGCUCAAGUAUACAUUACCGGGGAAUUCACGACAUUAAUAACACGUAUCGAAGGCGUGUAACACUCUCGGCCGAUGCUACCUCUCUCCAUAUUGAUCAUAUAAUGACUAAGCGUGUGUUACCGCAGAUCAUUUUCUGAUUAGGCGACCUUUACUAGCUCUUCCGGGAAAAUAUGUAGUGAGCACUCAAUCAACCGUUUAAGUCGUCAACAGCUACUCCGUCAAGUUCAACAGUCAUUUCGACGAUGAUAGAGCAAUUAGAACAAUGGUUGUUUACAUUUUAUACACCCUACAAAGAAGGCAGAAGUGGUUUAAGCAGACAUCAAAUUUAUCCGUCGUCAUCAAUACACCGACAAGAUCACCCAUGGCUUGGUAGAUCGGUUAAAUAAUCGAGAUUCGUCCAGGUCUGGAUAAUAUUGUUUGUGUGAUGGUUACCGUCAAAACAUAAGAAUGUAUCCUCGAGCGUCUUGUUGCCAAGCUGGUUAGACUGCCAGUUGAUCCCAGACCUUAAAAGGAUCGCCAUAUUACAGUAUCCUUAACAUUUUUUUUUACCUAUUUAUGUCUUGUGGCUGGGGUCAUUCUAUAAAUGUGUGCAACACGGAGAGCGUUACUCUGACGUCAUGAACCACCUGUCGAUUUAUGACGAUAUGUAUUAUGUACCUAUUGUACCUAGUGUCCUAGUACCUACAACUAUAAAUUUGUGAGAUUUAGAUUUACCAUGACAUCUUGAACCACCUGUAUGUUUAUAAAAUAUAAAUGUAUCACAAUAUUAUUAUUAUGUUUUAUGUACCUAGCGCCUACAACUAUAAAUUUGUCCAAUUUAAACAAUUUGAACCCAUCAUGGAUCGCGAAAAUUCUGCGCUCGAAUUAUGAUACACAGUUAAUUCUGGAAGAGUAUACUCCUGUACUACAAUAUGUAUUGUCUUGUCAGUCGAUCGGAUGUCGUACCUAGUUCUAUUAAAAAUGCCUAAUACAAUUUUACCUACUUACUUAAAGUUAUAUCUGUUACCUAACCAAAAAUAUGGUACACCGUAAUGCAGAAAUCGUUGAUAAGACUAUGCAAAACUUUAAAACGAAAAUAAGCAAGGAAUACUCAAUUAAAGAUCUACUGAAAGUAUGGGAUUGCAUUUCUAGAUGGAUUGAAAACAAUAUAAGCCAAGACAAAGUAAUUUUUUUUAUUAUAAUAUACCUGGGUACUUAUAUAAUAUAUGCUUGAGUAUUUAUUAUUUUUAUUAUAGAAUGAAAUUUAAAGCUUAUAAAUACGUUUUUGUUUCUAUUUUAUUCGACGAAGAGACUUUUAUAGCCUUACAUUAUAUAUCACGGUUCACGUUAACAAAUACAUUUACAAAAGAAAAUUACUUACCCGUAUGACCGUAGACAUCUCUUACAAUUCUCUCGCGCGCCAUACGCAUUAUAAAAUAUUUUGAUUAAAUUAUCUGCAUCAAGACAUUUAAUUUAUGUUGUUAUUGUUAUAACAAAUUUAAAAUUUGUAAAAAUCAAGAUUUUACUCUAUUGGUGUUUAUCUGCAUUGUUUUAAUAUUAUUAAUAGAAUAAUUGGUGUACCACAUAAUGACGAUCAUAGCGUUAUAUAUUUAUGUUCAUAUUUUUUUUAUGUUUUAAUGAAAGCUU
Molecule: long non-coding RNA, 2771 nt
Organism: Rhopalosiphum padi (bird cherry-oat aphid)
Lineage: Eukaryota; Metazoa; Arthropoda; Insecta; Hemiptera; Aphididae
Exons: 3
Source: RefSeq, a predicted model, not a curated record